CGGAGAUUCAGCAAUGGAUCUUAGUGGCGAACGGGUGAGUAACGCGUAGACAACCUGCCUUCUAGAUGGGGACAACAUCCCGAAAGGGGUGCUAAUACCGAAUGUUGUACCGUUUCCGCAUGGAGAUGAUACUAAAGGUGGCCUCUGAAUAUGCUACCGCUAGAAGAUGAGCCUGCGUCUGAUUAGCUAGUUGGAGGGGUAACGGCCCACCAAGGCUUCGAUCAGUAGCCGGUCUGAGAGGAUGAACGGCCACACUGGGACUGAGACACGGCCCAGACUCCUACGGGAGGCAGCAGUGGGGAAUCUUCCGCAAUGGACGAAAGUCUGACGGAGCAACGCCGCGUGAGUGAAGAAGGUUUUCGGAUCGUAAAGCUCUUUCGUUAGGGACGAACGUGCUCUUUGUGAAUAAUGAGGAGUAAUGACGGUACCUAAAUAAGAAGCCACGGCUAACUACGUGCCAGCAGCCGCGGUAAUACGUAGGUGGCAAGCGUUGUCCGGAAUUAUUGGGCGUAAAGCGCGCGCAGGCGGGAUAUCAAGUCUGUCUUAAAAGUGCGAGGCUCAACCUCGUGAGGGGACGGAAACUGGUAUCCUUGAGUGUC
This 599-nucleotide ribosomal RNA is filed under the name uncultured Anaeromusa sp. RNAcentral describes it as "partial 16S ribosomal RNA". It matches the Rfam family "Bacterial small subunit ribosomal RNA", at positions 67 to 650 of the family's 1533-position model. The record is from RNAcentral. Lineage: Bacteria; Bacillati; Bacillota; Negativicutes; Selenomonadales; Sporomusaceae.